Molecule: long non-coding RNA, 4062 nt
Filed under: Nicotiana tabacum (common tobacco)
Lineage: Eukaryota; Viridiplantae; Streptophyta; Magnoliopsida; Solanales; Solanaceae
Description: long non-coding RNA (NTAB_LNC011334)
Source: RNAcentral
ACUCAAAACAUAGGCCGACCAGGCCGUAUUAUCUUUUAUAUAUAUGACAUAUGUCUACAAGCCUCUAAGAGUACAUAAAUGUCAUAAAGGUCGGGAUAGAGUCCCGCCAUACCAAAUAAUACACGUCUAAAUCAUACUAACCAAACGAGCAACUCCGAAGCAAAUGGAGCGCACUAACAUCUUCCGUUGAGCUGAUAGCCUACUUAGAGGGCUCUCGACCUGUCUAUCGGGACUUGCGGGCAUGAAACGCAACGUCCCUAUGCAAAAGGGACAUCAGUACGAAUAAUAUACCGAUUAUGUAAGGCACAUAAACAAGUACAUAAAAGACAUGCAAGAAAUAUAGAGUACAUGACUCAACCUGUAAGUUUGAAUAACUUUGUAAAUCAUAAAUUACUUUUAGCGUCAUGCAUAUGCGUAUGAAUGUAAUGUCAUGCAUAGGUACAUGUUUCAUAACAUCAUCAGCCUCUAAGGGCAUCCAACCAUAUCAUAUCGGCCACUGUAGGCAAAAUCAUCAUCGUAUACCAGCUGAUCAGGUGGUGGUGCGUAUAUAACGACAUAACCUUUCACAUAUCCCAUAUACAUAUAUAUACAUACAUAUAUACGCGUAUAUAACGCCGUUCGAAUCAUAUUUUAGCCACUGUGGGCAACAUCAUCAACAUAUACCAGCCGAUCAGGUGGUGGUGCGUAUAUAAUGACGUAACCUUUUCCCAUAUCCCAUAUACAUAUAUACGCGUAUAUAAUAUCAUCUGGUCAUGGGUCAAUGCACAUGUAUAAAUGAGUGAAAUGCAUGAAAAAUACAUAAUAAUCUCGAUAUUCCUUCCGAAUAAACUUUUCCAACUGUGUAUUAUUCUGAGACCCAUGAACAGAAGAUAAUAAUAGUUCUCAUAGGGAAUCAAGAAUAUAGACACCCCUACUAUUUCUAUGAAUAGAUUAAUUUAUAGAAACUGUGUAUUUACUCAUUUCUUCAGUAUAAUUUGGACCAUGCCAAAAGAAAGAAGGGAUAGCCUUAACAUACCUGAACCGAUUCUGUUUUGCGAAAACACGUAACGGCGAAUUGAAGUGGGAAAAAGUCGGUAUUAUAUUCUUGAGAAAGAUUGUACUGGACUUUCUUUGAAUUAGCGUUUCAUGUUGGACCUUGUAGUGUUUCAAAAAAUUUCACAUUUGAACAUUGUAACAAUUCAAAGAGCUUUCACAUUUGGACAUUGUAAAGUUUAAAGGGCUUCAACAUUUGAACAUUGUGAAGUUUCAAAGGUUUUAACGUUUGGACAUUGUAAAGUUUCAAGGCUUUAACAUUUGGAUAUUAUAAAGCUUCAAAGGCUUUAACGUUUGGAUUUUGUAAGAUUCAGAGAGCUUUCAUGUUCUGUGUAAGGUUUUAGACUUUGGUUUUGUAUUCAAGGUCUUUAGGAAUUAAUAUAAAAGGUCUUUAGAAAGAGAUAUGUCUUGAAUUAAGUUGCCACCUACUCUUAAAUGAGCCUUUGUCAUUUGAUCAGAUUGUGUCUUGUUGCCACGUCACUCUUCCCAUAUUUAUCCAAAGUUUUUUUAAUUAAUUUAAUUAGGUAAUAUCCCGCUAUCCGGUAAUUAAUCAAUUACCCGUAUAAUUAAUAAUUGUCUCAAAUUACUUAAAAUUCUACUUAUUUUUAAUACACUUUAUGCAUAUCUCACUAUCAUGGUCAUAUGGUACUUUGUAUAGUACUAGUCCGUGUCACACCUCCUUUUUUCACUACACCCCCGAGAAGGGUGUAAAAAGGAGUUUUUUCAAUUGAAGGACAAUCGAAACUGGAUUAUUAUAUUAGAUUCAGAGUCGCCACUUGGGAUAAUUUUAUGGUAUCCCAAGUCACCGGUUCAAAUCCCGAAUCGAGGAAAGUAUUGACUCUGUAUUACAGUCCGCGAACACCGAAAUUCGGGUAAGGAAUUCUAUUAACCCGGAAAAAGAUGUUAGGCAUUCCCGAGUUCCGUGGUUUUAGCAUGGUCGCUUAAACUAUUAAAAUUGGCCUAAUUAUCUGACUUAUUACACGUUUUAAACUUAUUGUGCAUUUUUAGCUUUUAUAACCGCUUUUUAAUUAUUUUAAACCGCUUUUAGGAAUUAUGGAAUUAUUUCUUGAACAAGUUACCAUUGUCGUACACUUGCCGUUUUGGCACACACCGCGAAUCACGCUACAUGAAAUGCACCCGCGAUUCGCGACAUGUUUAUUUUAUUAUUGUUUGAAGUUGUUAUGAUCGGGUCACAUGAAAUGCACCCCUGAAUUUGGGAAUUACGUAUCAUAACUAUGUCGCGAGAACCGUACCCAUAGCCAUGAUAAUCUAUUAACAAUCGCGCCUAAAGCAAACUACGUUGUUUUUGAAUUAUUUUUUUUUUAUAAUUAGAUUAAGGCAUGACUAUGGGAAGUGAAGGCGAACUAGGGAGUGUGCUUUUUAUUAUUUGCACCAUUUACUAAUAAAGGGACGCACUUUGACACUUUAAACCUUGAGGAUAACUUCAUUGUUAUUAAGCUAAGUCAAUGUGAAAUUAAUUAACAAAGAGGUUACUAAAACAAAAGUAUGAGAUGAAUUGUUGGGAUUAAAUUAAAAUAUUAUUCUAACAUUUUUUCAUUUAGUGAUCUUUCAAAAUGGUUCUAACGUCUAAAAAUGGAUCAUACAGACCCAUAAUUGGUACUUUAAGCAAAAAAGCAAAAAGCAAAAAGCAACGGGUACUAUUGUUUUAGCCGCUUUUAAUAUUUCAGGAAAAAUUCAAAGUUAUUUAAAACACAUCGUAAGUCACGCUACAUAAAUGCACCGACCGUCCACAACACAUUUUAUUUAACGUUGUUGAGAUUUGGAUUUGGGUCACAUAAAUGCGCACCCGAGUUUAGGAAAGUAAUUUUUAAUAUCGUGCUUAAAUCAACUACACACUUUUAAGUUACUAGGAAGGUUUGCGAGGGCCAUGAAAAAUUCAACUAAUGGCACACCCCGAUUUCUAAAGAGUUAAAAAUUAAUUAAGUGAGGGCCAUGAGUUAUCUAAUUUUGUUUAUGGCACACCUCGAGCCUAAUUUUAAAGGAUGUUUGAACUACUCUUUUGAGAGCCAUAAAUUAUAUGUUUGUUGAUAUGGGACACCGCAAUUUAUUUUUAAAAAACUUAUACUCAAAUGAAGCAAUUGCGGAUAUUCAUGGUUCCCUGAAAUUGAUUUUGCGAUUAUUGAAGCCAGGAAUUAAUGAUUUAAGAAUGUGAAAACAAUACUAUUCGGCCGCUAUAUUUAAAUACAAUAUCAACUUCAAUAGAAAAAUUUCGAAUGGAAGCUCAGGCAUAGAAAAAAAAAAAGGAAUCCGACGCCAAUUUCAACCAUUAAUUUCAACUAACGAAUGACCAAUUACGAAAUAACUUCAACCGAGAAAAUCAAUGUUACACCUAUGAAUAGUUUAAAUUAAUAGUAUCAGGAGCCUACUCAAACACAAUUUGUAAAUAUUCCUCUACUUCAAUCUAAAACUACGGACACAGAACAAUACAUGAUUUCAAUAAAUAUGCACAUUCUUGCGCACACCCCGCGCGUCUCCCUUACUUUAAAUAAUAAUACAAAAUCAUUGAUCAUACAACUCAAAUAAAAUUUCUUGAAAUCAAUUAAACAGUCACAAGCCCAAACCGCGUGUCAACCCCCCCCCCCCCCUAAAUAUCAAUUUAUUUGCUUAACCAACUGGACACUUAAUUGAAGCAAGCAUUUAUGGCAUAAUAUUGAUUAAAAAUGCGAGCUAAUCAAAUUUAGAGAAUAACAAACAGAUCUGGAAUGUUCAACAUGGAUUUAACAUGAAUAGGUCAAGUUUUACUUACUUUAAGUUCACAACAAAGCUGAAAAUUUACAUACCUACUAGGGAGUGAAUUCAACUAAGUAAAAUCUGAAAGUUGUAAAGUCAAUACAGCAGCAACAACAAAAUCUUUAUCAAUUCUUCUUUAAACCCAGGACCAGUAAAAGAAAAUCCAGAAAAUGCUAAAAAAAAACGAAAGUGCUCAGAAAAGCUUGAGGUGAAAAUAUUCUUUUGCCAAUUUUUAUGUUCAGUCGUAUUCCCCUCUCUCCCUCUUUUCUUCCAUCUAAA